GCAUUGAUGGUUCAAUGGUAGAAACCUCUCCUUCCAUGCAAGAGACCCAGAUUUGAUUCCUGGCCAAUGCU
Molecule: transfer RNA, 71 nt
Filed under: Loxodonta africana (African savanna elephant)
Lineage: Eukaryota; Metazoa; Chordata; Mammalia; Proboscidea; Elephantidae
Rfam family: tRNA
About the family: Transfer RNA (tRNA) molecules are approximately 80 nucleotides in length. Their secondary structure includes four short double-helical elements and three loops (D, anti-codon, and T loops). Further hydrogen bonds mediate the characteristic L-shaped molecular structure. tRNAs have two regions of fundamental functional importance: the anti-codon, which is responsible for specific mRNA codon recognition, and the 3' end, to which the tRNAs corresponding amino acid is attached (by aminoacyl-tRNA synthetases). tRNAs cope with the degeneracy of the genetic code in two manners: having more than one tRNA (with a specific anti-codon) for a particular amino acid; and 'wobble' base-pairing, i.e. permitting non-standard base-pairing at the 3rd anti-codon position.
Source: Rfam by way of RNAcentral